GCGCCCUUAGCUCAGCCGGAUAGAGCAACGGAUUUCUAAUCCGUAGGUCGCAGGUUCGAAUCCUGCAGGGCGUG
Molecule: transfer RNA, 74 nt
Filed under: Chitinispirillum alkaliphilum
Lineage: Bacteria; Pseudomonadati; Fibrobacterota; Chitinispirillia; Chitinispirillales; Chitinispirillaceae
Description: tRNA-Arg
Rfam family: tRNA
About the family: Transfer RNA (tRNA) molecules are approximately 80 nucleotides in length. Their secondary structure includes four short double-helical elements and three loops (D, anti-codon, and T loops). Further hydrogen bonds mediate the characteristic L-shaped molecular structure. tRNAs have two regions of fundamental functional importance: the anti-codon, which is responsible for specific mRNA codon recognition, and the 3' end, to which the tRNAs corresponding amino acid is attached (by aminoacyl-tRNA synthetases). tRNAs cope with the degeneracy of the genetic code in two manners: having more than one tRNA (with a specific anti-codon) for a particular amino acid; and 'wobble' base-pairing, i.e. permitting non-standard base-pairing at the 3rd anti-codon position.
Source: RNAcentral